CACCACUCGAGAAACUUGCUAUAAAUAUCCUUAACUUUCUUUUAAGAUCCAAAAAUCUAUACUUCUCCUUUUCCCCAAAUUUACUUCUCCACCGUUCCCACACACUCGCUUUUGCUUCAUUUCGCCGUUUCUGUUACCGUUAAUCAACGUGAUCGGAUUUUUUACACUCUUUUCCGGCCGGAUUGUUGAAGUUACAAUGGUCGACGUAGACCGGAGGAUGACCGGGUUGAAUCCGGCUCACUUAGCCGGACUCCGCCGUCUCUCUGCAAGAGCCGCCGCUUCUUCUCCGUCGACUCCGAUGCCUCCUCGGAAUAGUCUCCUUUCGUUCUCCUUUCUUGCAGAUAAAGUUAUAUCUCAUCUAAAGAGCUCUGGUAUUCAGGUUCAGGCCGG
Molecule: unclassified non-coding RNA, 390 nt
Filed under: Hevea brasiliensis (rubber tree)
Lineage: Eukaryota; Viridiplantae; Streptophyta; Magnoliopsida; Malpighiales; Euphorbiaceae
Source: RNAcentral